GGGUUGGAGAUGAGUCCACAGAAUAGCAUACGGUAAGGCAUAAAGGAACGCGCAUGUCAAGUGACCAGUUAGAAGGAUGGGACAGAAGGACCAUCGCUGUACCAAGCCUGGACCCCGGACUCCCAGUGUGAGUGAGGACUGGAUUCUGACCAAGGGACCUACCUGGUGACCCCCUGGACAGCGUUGAUCGGGUACGCCUAACUUCACUGGAACAACUUGGCAUGCACCUGGCAUAGAGGGACUGCCAAUAAGUUGCCAACCCCAUGUGGGAACUC
Molecule: long non-coding RNA, 275 nt
Organism: Gavialis gangeticus (Gharial)
Lineage: Eukaryota; Metazoa; Chordata; Crocodylia; Gavialidae
Exons: 3
Source: RefSeq, a predicted model, not a curated record